RNAcentral lists this ribosomal RNA (426 nucleotides) under uncultured Spartobacteria bacterium. RNAcentral describes it as "partial 16S ribosomal RNA". It matches the Rfam family "Bacterial small subunit ribosomal RNA", at positions 355 to 774 of the family's 1533-position model. The record is from RNAcentral. Lineage: Bacteria; Pseudomonadati; Verrucomicrobiota; Spartobacteria.
UCGAGAAUUUUUGACAAUGGGGGAAACCCUGAUCGAGCGACGCCGCGUGGAGGAUGAAGGUCUUCGGAUUGUAAACUCCUGUCAUUGGGGAACAAGGUGCAUACGUUAACUGCGUGUGUAUUGAUAGUACUCGAAGAGGAAGAGACGGCUAACUCUGUGCCAGCAGCCGCGGUAAUACAGAGGUCUCAAGCGUUGUUCGGAUUCAUUGGGCGUAAAGGGUGCGUAGGCGGCGCGGUAAGUCGGGUGUGAAAUCUCGGAGCUUAACUCCGAAACUGCAUUCGAUACUGCCGUGCUUGAGGACUGGAGAGGAGACUGGAAUUUACGGUGUAGCGGUGAAAUGCGUAGAUAUCGUAAGGAAGACCAGUGGCGAAGGCGGGUCUCUGGACAGUUCCUGACGCUGAGGCACGAAGGUCAGGGGAGCAAACG